UCGCCACAUGGGACUGAGACACGGCCCAGACUCUACGGGAGGCAGCAGUAGGGAAUCUUCCACAAUGGACGCAAGUCUGAUGGAGCAACGCCGCGUGAGUGAAGAAGGGUUUCGGCUCGUAAAGCUCUGUUGUUAAAGAAGAACGUGGGUAAGAGUAACUGUUUACCCAGUGACGGUAUUUAACCAGAAAGCCACGGCUAACUACGUGCCAGCAGCCGCGGUAAUACGUAGGUGGCAAGCGUUAUCCGGAUUUAUUGGGCGUAAAGCGAGCGCAGGCGGUCUUUUAAGUCUAAUGUGAAAGCCUUCGGCUCAACCGAAGAAGUGCAUUGGAAACUGGGAGACUUGAGUGCAGAAGAGGACAGUGGAACUCCAUGUGUAGCGGUGAAAUGCGUAGAUAUAUGGAAGAACACCAGUGGCGAAGGCGGCUGUCUGGUCUGCAACUGACGCUGAGGCUCGAAAGCAUGGGUAGCGAACAGGAUUAGAUACCCUGGUAGUCCAUGCCGUAAACGAUGAUUACUAAGUGUUGGAGGGUUUCCGCCCUUCAGUGCUGCAGCUAACGCAUUAAGUAAUCCGCCUGGGGAGUACGACCGCAAGGUUGAAACUCAAAAGAAUUGACGGGGGCCCGCACAAGCGGUGGAGCAUGUGGUUUAAUUCGAAGCUACGCGAAGAACCUUACCAGGUCUUGACAUCUUCUGACAGUCUAAGAGAUUAGAGGUUCCCUUCGGGGACAGAAUGACAGGUGGUGCAUGGUUGUCGUCAGCUCGUGUCGUGAGAUGUUGGGUUAAGUCCCGCAACGAGCGCAACCCUUAUUACUAGUUGCCAGCAUUAAGUUGGGCACUCUAGUGAGACUGCCGGUGACAAACCGGAGGAAGGUGGGGACGACGUCAAAUCAUCAUGCCCCUUAUGACCUGGGCUACACACGUGCUACAAUGGAUGGUACAACGAGUCGCGAGACCGCGAGGUUAAGCUAAUCUCUUAAAACCAUUCUCAGUUCGGACUGUAGGCUGCAACUCGCCUACACGAAGUCGGAAUCGCUAGUAUCGCGAACCC
RNAcentral lists this ribosomal RNA (1050 nucleotides) under Pediococcus pentosaceus. RNAcentral's name for it is "bacterial SSU rRNA". It matches the Rfam family "Bacterial small subunit ribosomal RNA", at positions 305 to 1351 of the family's 1533-position model. Lineage: Bacteria; Bacillati; Bacillota; Bacilli; Lactobacillales; Lactobacillaceae. The record is from RNAcentral.